Octopus bimaculoides (California two-spot octopus) is the source of this 102-nucleotide non-coding RNA. The record is from Rfam. Lineage: Eukaryota; Metazoa; Mollusca; Cephalopoda; Octopoda; Octopodidae.
GUACAAGCUUUGGCUGUACAUAUUCUAAAAUUGGAACGAUACAGAUUAACAUGGCUCCUGCGCAAUGAUAACACGCAAAUUCGUGAAGCGUUCCAUAUUAUU